Molecule: ribosomal RNA, 552 nt
Filed under: uncultured archaeon
Lineage: Archaea
Description: bacterial SSU rRNA
Rfam family: Archaeal small subunit ribosomal RNA
Source: RNAcentral
GGGGUGCAGCAGGCGCGAAAACUUUACAAUGCUGGAAACAGCGAUAAGGGGACCUCGAGUGCCAGGUUACAAAUCUGGCUGUCGUGAUGCCUAAAAAGCAUUGCAUAGCAAGGGCCGGGCAAGACCGGUGCCAGCCGCCGCGGUAACACCGGCGGCUCGAGUGGUAACCGUUAUUAUUGGGUCUAAAGGGUCUGUAGCCGGCCGGAUAAGUCUCUUGGGAAAUCCAGCAGCUCAACUGUUGGGCUUUCAGGAGAUACUGUCUGGCUCGAGGCCGGGAGAGGUGAGAGGUACUUCAGGGGUAGGGGUGAAAUCUUGUAAUCCUUGAAGGACCACCAGUGGCGAAGGCGUCUCACCAGAACGGACCUGACGGCAAGGGACGAAAGCUAGGGGCACGAACCGGAUUAGAUACCCGGGUAGUCCUAGCCGUAAACGAUACUCGCUAGGUGUCGGCCACGGUGCGACCGUUGUCGGUGCCGUAGGGAAGCCGUGAAGCGAGCCACCUGGGAAGUACGGCCGCAAGGCUGAAACUUAAAGGAAUUGGCGGGGGAGCAC